GCGGAUGUGGCGGAACGGCAGACGCGCUAGAUUCAGGUUCUAGUGGUAGAAAUACCGUGUGGGUUCAAGUCCCUUCAUCCGCA
This 83-nucleotide transfer RNA is filed under the name Bacillota bacterium. Its description in RNAcentral is "tRNA-Leu". It matches the Rfam family "tRNA". From Rfam's summary of the family: Transfer RNA (tRNA) molecules are approximately 80 nucleotides in length. Their secondary structure includes four short double-helical elements and three loops (D, anti-codon, and T loops). Further hydrogen bonds mediate the characteristic L-shaped molecular structure. tRNAs have two regions of fundamental functional importance: the anti-codon, which is responsible for specific mRNA codon recognition, and the 3' end, to which the tRNAs corresponding amino acid is attached (by aminoacyl-tRNA synthetases). tRNAs cope with the degeneracy of the genetic code in two manners: having more than one tRNA (with a specific anti-codon) for a particular amino acid; and 'wobble' base-pairing, i.e. permitting non-standard base-pairing at the 3rd anti-codon position. The record is from RNAcentral. Lineage: Bacteria; Bacillati; Bacillota.